Molecule: microRNA precursor, 136 nt
Organism: Chlorocebus sabaeus (green monkey)
Lineage: Eukaryota; Metazoa; Chordata; Mammalia; Primates; Cercopithecidae
Source: Ensembl
AACGAAGAGCUGUUGGAGAGACGAGGAGUUAAGAGUUCAUUCGGCUGUCCAGAUGUAUCCAAGUAUCCUGUGUUAUUUGGCAAUAAAUACAUCUGGGCAACUGACUGAACUUUUCGCUUUUCAUGACUCAGCUGGA